RNAcentral lists this non-coding RNA (30 nucleotides) under Mus musculus (house mouse). Lineage: Eukaryota; Metazoa; Chordata; Mammalia; Rodentia; Muridae. The record is from RNAcentral.
UCAAUAAUGUUGCAGGGUCUCUUGUGCCUU